Rhagoletis zephyria (snowberry fruit fly) is the source of this 1868-nucleotide long non-coding RNA. RefSeq lists it as uncharacterized. The record is from RefSeq and is a predicted model, not a curated record. NCBI's taxonomy places the organism in Eukaryota, Metazoa, Arthropoda, Insecta, Diptera, Tephritidae.
UACAUAUGUAUGCGGGGUAUUCCAUGAGUAAGUGAAACUUUGUGUCCAAUUGUAGAGUAGCUUAUUGAACAUGGAAUGCUUGAUGAAUCAAUGCUCAAUACCUGAAAUUAACGUUUUUUCGAAAAAAAAUUUAGUUAUAUUAUUUUAUUACACUGUAAAUACACUCAAAACUUCAACAUUAGAAAAGUAGUUGAAUACGACAACAUAUUUUAAUAUAGAAGGCUCUGCAAAAUCAAGUAUUCACAAAGUUAUUAUUUUUUUGAAGGGGGGAAUAAAUGUCUCGAUCUUUCUGCGCCCCGAAGAAGCAAUAUGGCAUUGAAGAAAAAUAGGCAUUUAAAUUAUAUAAUAGGAUAAAAUCACUACGGUUUAGCAUGUCCAACCCGUGACUAAAAAGUUUUAAACUUCGUAUUGCUUAGUUACUACUUUAGGGAGUUUUCUAUAAUUUCAUAACUAGAGUGUGUUUAUACUAAGCAGCCCUAUUUCAUUUCUUUUAUUAUAUUAUAAGUACCUACUUAAGAGAUUUUGAAACGUUUUAUCGUGUCCCGCCCGUGACAAUCAUUUAUAAUUUUUUUCUAAUGAUGCCUAACAAUAAAAAAAUAAGUUUAACGUUUCAAACCUAUGUUUAAUGCCACAAAACUCUGAAGUACAGGUUGACUAAACACCAUAAUACUGUUGGUGGGCUAAGCGAUGUAGUAAAAAAUUUCGCGUGGCCAGCUCGAAAAGUCAAGAUAAGCAUUACUAUCUUAGAGACGCCAGAGAAUUCUAUGAUGAGGGUUGCUUAACAACAAUUAAAAGUCAAUAUUAACAAUUACCUGAAAAGUUCCAACCAAGAAAAUCUAGAAGUUCGCGAAACUUAUAAAUUCAAUCCAAUAAAUAGCCUUUAAGUGACAAAGAUAUACAUAUGUAUCUGCUUACAAGUAUUCUAAUGCAGAUAACUUUUCGGAUUAGACAUCGAUACACAAGAUCUUUUCUGACGUUCUAUGGUUUUAAGGAAUAGCUAAAUUUGAGCAUGAUUUGUCCAUGAAAUCAGUUUCCAAAAAUAACUCAACUCGAGCCACUCUUAAGCCGGUUACUCAAUGUCUGGUCAACACUAACAGCAGGUUAGACAUCUCUAUCGACGUGAUAACAGUAGUCGAUAUACAUGUUUAGCCUGUAGUUAGUAUUAGUCAGACAUACAUAGCUAUUCUAAACAAACUUGAAAAUCAUUAAGGCACAUUCGAAAUUUCGUUGCAAUCAAAUGCACCGUGCAGAAGUGCAUUAGGAAAAUGCAUAUAAAAUUUCAUGCGUUUGCAAAUAAUCCUUUCUUCCAUGCAUUUUAAUACAUCAAUCUGGCGACUUCUAGCUUUCGUUUGGUAUAACUAUUGCCCCUAAAAUAGAUCCUGGGGUCAGCAGUAUAUCGUGCGUCUUACAAUGACUCCACUGUCAUAAAAGUAGGUCAAUUGAUCUUGUAUUUGACCUCUAACAUUUAUCAUACCUAAUCUCUUUGAUAUGGAUCUCACUAGAAGCUUCCUUUCAUGAAGAAAAUCGUACGUGUCCCACCCGUGACAAAAGUUGUCCCACCCGUGACAGGAGAAUUUUGAAUUUUUUAAUAAUAAACAAAUAAUUCUUAUUAUGGUUUGUGCUUUGUUGGGAUUGCUGGUUCUUUUCUGUAUAGUAAAACAUCUAAUCCAGAUAGAAAUGUUAAGUAAAUUCACAGACUUUCCUUAAAAUAUAUGUUCUCCAAAAAGCAGUGUCUUUUCUUUGUCCUACCCGUGACGGAAGAAACAGCUCAGAAUUUUCCAAUAUAAAAUCAAGUUGGAAUAUUUUUCGUAUUUGGUAAUAACUCGUAUAUUAGUGAACUAGGUGUAGCUUUAUCAAAAUGUAGAAUU